UGGCUGGUGUUCUAACGUGGGCCCGUAAUCCGGGUUGCGGACAGUGUCUGGUGGGUAGUUUGACUGGGGCGGUCUCCUCCUAAAGAGUAACGGAGGAGCACGAAGGUUAGCUAAUCCUGGUCGGACAUCAGGAGGUUAGUGCAAAGGCAUAAGCUAGCUUGACUGCGAGCGUGACGGCGCGAGCAGGUGCGAAAGCAGGUCUUAGUGAUCCGGUGGUUCUGAAUGGAAGGGCCAUCGCUCAACGGAUAAAAGGUACUCCGGGGAUAACAGGCUGAUACCGCCCAAGAGUUCAUAUCGACGGCGGUGUUUGGCACCUCGAUGUCGGCUCAUCACAUCCUGGGGCUGAAGUAGGUCCCAAGGGUAUGGCUGUUCGCCAUUUAAAGUGGUACGCGAGCUGGGUUUAGAACGUCGUGAGACAGUUCGGUCCCUAUCUGCCGUGGGCGCUGGAGAAUUGAGGGGGGCUGCUCCUAGUACGAGAGGACCGGAGUGGACGCAUCACUGGUGUUCGGGUUGUCAUGCCAAUGGCACUGCCCGGUAGCUAAAUGCGGAAGAGAUAAGUGCUGAAAGCAUCUAAGCACGAAACUUGCCCCGAGAUGAGUUCUCCCUGACCCUUUAAGGGUCCUGAAGGAACGUUGAAGACGACGACGUUGAUAGGCCGGGUGUGUAAGCGCAGCGAUGCGUUGAGCUAACCGGUACUAAUGAACCGUGAGGCUUAACCUUACAA
Molecule: ribosomal RNA, 724 nt
Filed under: Citrobacter amalonaticus
Lineage: Bacteria; Pseudomonadati; Pseudomonadota; Gammaproteobacteria; Enterobacterales; Enterobacteriaceae
Description: partial 23S ribosomal RNA
Rfam family: Bacterial large subunit ribosomal RNA
Source: RNAcentral